CCCAGCCAGGAAGAGUAUAAAAGACUUCAUUUCCCAUCAGUCCUGUUUUGCUUCCAUGGUGCCAUUUUUACCCCUGGGCUCAGCUGUAAAACCAGAGAUGAGGACGAGCGCUCGUUGGCGGUCCGUGACCUCAUUCCCGCUUUUCUCCCGGUGAAGGGCUGUCUGGCGAACAGCUCGAGCGGAACAAGUCGCACACGGGGUUGGGGUGCCCUGUGACAGACUGACAUUGCAUCCUGGAUGUGUCCACUCCCCCUCCAGCCUUAAGCCCUGUGUUGCCGGGUUAGGCUCCCGCUCCCUGCGACAAGUGGUUCAGAUGUGUGUCCG
Molecule: long non-coding RNA, 324 nt
Filed under: Scleropages formosus (Asian bonytongue)
Lineage: Eukaryota; Metazoa; Chordata; Actinopteri; Osteoglossiformes; Osteoglossidae
Description: lncRNA (ENSSFOG00015033070.1)
Source: RNAcentral